UGAGUGGCAGUGAGCCUUUUUCCCCUCAGGCUGUUGCCUCUCUGGCCAAGACCACGUUUCCUGAGAUGGACUGGAGGUCAUCUUUGUCCUCUCUCAUUGGGAAAUUCUGAGAACAUGAGGUAAACCGCAUGUGGGCGGGAAGGAAUGGGCAGGCUGGAGCUGCCAGGGUUUCCUCUCCUGGGAAGGAGCCUGCCGCCUGCAGACCGUGGAGACGGAGCCUCCUUGGAGAGGGCACCAGGGGCAUCCGUGGUGCUUCUGAGUCCGUGUUUCUUGACCUUCUGAUCACUGCUUCCUGACCUUGUGGUGGUGGUGAUGUCUAGAGCUGCAGCAGCCAUCCUGUGACCAUGAAGUGAUACGUAAGAGGAUGGCAAGCCGACACACUGAGGAGGCUCCUCUGUGGCUGAACAAGGCUGCAAGUACCUGUGGGCCUUUGGCAUCCCUGAGUCAGAAGGGAAGGAGAAAAGUCAAUAGGAAAAUAACAGCACAGAGGCCCUUGGACUUGGACCGCCCAGCCUCUCGAAUGUCCUGGAGGUCAGCAGUCUGAAAUGGAGUUCCCUGGGCUACAACCAAGGUGUGGGCAAAGCCGUGCUCCUUCUGAAGCCUCCAGGGGAGAAGUCCUCCGAGUGUCCUUUCCAGCUUCUAGAAACCGCCUGCGUUCCUUGGCAUGGCCCUUGUCAGCCAUCGCGGCCCUCCAACUUGUACCUGGGUUGUGGCUUCUCCAUCUCUCCCUCUCUGACCCUCCCUUUUCCAUAGAACGCUGGGAUUGCGUCUCUCUGGGUGUUCCAGGAUGAGCUCCCCAUCUCAGGAUCCUUAAUUUACUCACAUUCACAAAGUCCUUUAGCCAUGUAAGGUAGUAAAUUCACAGGUCCCAGGGAUGAGGAUACAGACGUCUUUGGGAGGAAGGGGGUGUCACUCUGCCCACCGCAUUCAGACAGGCUGUGAUCAGGACUUUGAGUGCAUGCAGAGGGCUCAGGCACCAUGAUGCACCAUUCCCAUGCAGACCCCUCUGCAAGCCCUUCCUCUUCCCUAUCCUGCUUGCCUUGUGAUCUUACCGGUUUUCCCUGGGCACACUUCCUUAAUAAAUCACCUGUUCUGAAUCUUAGGGAACGUGCCCUAAGACAGCAUAACCUCCCCGAGUAGGAAAGGGCUUAAGAAUAGCUGCUCACUUUCCUGCUUCUUGCAUUAGAUCAUCAACUAGAAGCUUCAGCCCCACAUUCAUUAAGAAGAAGGCUGGCUAGGCUGGUUCUGAGGGUUUAUGUAAAGCUGGCUUUACAUAAGGGUGUCCUUCCCAUCAGGGUGGGAAGUUUAAGUGGAAGCAUUCUAGACCCCCUUGAGGUCUAAGGGAGGGGCAGCAAGGCCCUUGGGGAGCCCUGGGACCAAAGUGGGCCCAGAGAGUCCUAGCAAUUGUUAUCUCCUUUGUAUUCAGUUGCUGACUGCCAGUAGCUUGUGGCAGGCACGGCCUCCCUGCCAAUGUGAUGUCAAUUGUGCUUCAGGUACAGUCAACUGGAUAUAGAAUUUUGCUUUAUAAGAAUGAGGUGGGUUGGGGAAUCUCCUAGAGGAUUUAAAUAGGGAGAACGACCAGGUCUGGUUAAUGUCUUGAGUGGUCACUUUGGCUGCUGGCAGGAGGACUGAUGGUGAUGGGGCCUGAGAGGAGGCAGGGGAGCUAGUGUGGAGGCUGUGCCACUCUUGGGGGGUAAAGAUGAUGGUGGGUCACCAGCUCCAUGCUAGUCCUCAGGAACACUCCAAGACCAGAGCAGAGGACUGACCUCAGCUCGAGUUCUUGCCUCACCUCCAGACUUGGGCAUCUUCUCCUCCCCUGGGUUCUCAAGUCCUGUGGACUCUGCCAUUUGCUGGCCUCACCAACUCCUUUCCUGUUAGAGUCUGUAAACAAGUCAGGAUGGCGCCUGGCAAAAUGCCAGAGGGAGCGGUUUGUGAAGUAAUGCCAGCGAGCCACUAAGUAUGGAGAUU
Non-coding RNA from Ictidomys tridecemlineatus (thirteen-lined ground squirrel), 1968 nucleotides. Lineage: Eukaryota; Metazoa; Chordata; Mammalia; Rodentia; Sciuridae. The record is from RefSeq and is a predicted model, not a curated record.